RNAcentral lists this ribosomal RNA (252 nucleotides) under uncultured bacterium. RNAcentral describes it as "partial small subunit ribosomal RNA". It matches the Rfam family "Bacterial small subunit ribosomal RNA", at positions 26 to 285 of the family's 1533-position model. The record is from RNAcentral.
AGGACGAACGCUGGCGGCGUGCUUAACACAUGCAAGUCGAACGAUGAAGCCUUCGGGUGGAUUAGUGGCGAACGGGUGAGUAACACGUGGGUGAUCUGCCUCGUACUUCGGGAUAAGCUUGGGAAACUGGGUCUAAUACCGGAUAUGACCAGGGGCUGCAUGGUUUCUGGUGGAAAGAUUUAUCGGUGCGAGAUGAGCCCGCGGCCUAUCAGCUUGUUGGUGGGUAAUGGCCUACCAAGGCGACGACGGGUA